UGGGAAUUUGGACAAUGGGCGAAAGCCUGAUCCAGCAAUGCCGCGUGUGUGAAGAAGGCCUUCGGGUUGUAAAGCACUUUUGUCCGGAAAGAAAUCCUUGGCUCUAAUACAGUCGGGGGAUGACGGUACCGGAAGAAUAAGCACCGGCUAACUACGUGCCAGCAGCCGCGGUAAUACGUAGGGUGCAAGCGUUAAUCGGAAUUACUGGGCGUAAAGCGUGCGCAGGCGGUUUGCUAAGACCGAUGUGAAAUCCCCGGGCUCAACCUGGGAACUGCAUUGGUGACUGGCAGGCUAGAGUAUGGCAGAGGGGGGUAGAAUUCCACGUGUAGCAGUGAAAUGCGUAGAGAUGUGGAGGAAUACCGAUGGCG
This 368-nucleotide ribosomal RNA is filed under the name uncultured bacterium. Its description in RNAcentral is "partial 16S ribosomal RNA". It matches the Rfam family "Bacterial small subunit ribosomal RNA", at positions 357 to 717 of the family's 1533-position model. The record is from RNAcentral.